This is a non-coding RNA of Paralichthys olivaceus (Japanese flounder), 919 nucleotides long. Lineage: Eukaryota; Metazoa; Chordata; Actinopteri; Pleuronectiformes; Paralichthyidae. The record is from RefSeq and is a predicted model, not a curated record.
GUGUCUCCAGGACGAUUAAUAAAGCAGUUGAGUGCUGUAGCACCCUACAUAACACAGGGUUAAAAAAAACACUUGUCGUCUGUGUUUAAAGCUGCACCAUGUUCCUGUGCCUUUGGGAAACAUUGUGUGUCGCCUCAAUGAGAAGGCCGGGGCCAUCCUGUAGACGGGAGCCGAACCUUUCAACCUGGCACUUCAGCGCUUGUGCGGCGCAGACGCUCAGCCCGGAGAAUGCCACUAAAGCCUAAAGAGCACCAAAGUUUUCUGGAGGUUGGCGUGUUUCUAAAAAACCUCCUUUAAGCAAACCAGGAAAGCGGGGAGGAAAACGCGGUCAGGCCGACAUUGCCACCUCCUCCUCUCUCAUCACCCUUUUUGCCCCACAGUCUCUAAUGCCAUCUGCACCGCCAACGGGGGGACACUUUGCCCGUGCCAGGAGGAGGCGGAGAAAGACCCUCGCCAGAUCCCCGGAGAACGGGCGCGCUCAGAGGAGCCAUCUUGGGAGAUGCUGCCGCGACACCUAAAAUGGCUGGGGCUGGCAUAGUAGGACGGGACCUGUGAGGCUCUGCUCUCUGCAGGAAACUGCUCUGGCACCAGGAGACUGUGGAGCAAAAGCAACAUAAUGUCAUCAUCAGAUUUUGUUUCACCAGAGCAGGAACUCAGCGAGAUUAACUGCCAACUAAACACCGCGAGAAGAAGAAGAAGAAAAAGAAGAAGAAGAAGAAGAGGAAGAGGAAGAGGAGGAGGAGUCAUGUGUAGUAACAAAAGAUUUGCUGUGUAAAUCUGAAAUAUAUCUCAAGAUGACUGCCAACCUUAGAAAUAAUACAAAGUUUAUGUUAAAAUGCUGCACUCAUGAAUAAUUGUAUAUAGUUAUUACACAAUUAUACAAUAAAAAAAAACUGCAAAUAAAAAAGCCUUAAUUGUU